AAAGGAAUUGACGGGGGCCCGCACAAGCGGAGGAACAUGUGGUUUAAUUCGAUGAUACGCGAGGAACCUUACCUGGGCUUGAAUGCAGGUUGACUGACUGGGAAACUGGUCUUUCUUCGGACAACCUGCAAGGUGCUGCAUGGUUGUCGUCAGCUCGUGCCGUGAGGUGUAGGGUUAAGUCCCAUAACGAGCGCAACCCUUAUCGUUAGUUGCCAGCGGAUAAUGCCGGGGACUCUAACGAAACUGCCGGUGUAAACCGUGAGGAAGGUGGGGAUGACGUCAAAUCAGCACGGCCCUUAUGUCCAGGGCGAAACACGUGUUACAAUGGCCGAUACAAAGGGCAGCUACCUGGUGACAGGAUGCUAAUCUCCAAAAUCGGUCUCAGUUCGAAUCGAAGUCUGCAACUCGACUUCGUGAAGCAGGAUUCGCUAGUAAUCGCGCAUCAGCCACGGCGCGGUGAAUACGUUCCCGGGCCUUGUACACACCGCCCGU
RNAcentral lists this ribosomal RNA (492 nucleotides) under uncultured bacterium. RNAcentral's name for it is "bacterial SSU rRNA". It matches the Rfam family "Bacterial small subunit ribosomal RNA", at positions 903 to 1397 of the family's 1533-position model. The record is from RNAcentral.